Molecule: ribosomal RNA, 483 nt
Filed under: Cladosporium herbarum
Lineage: Eukaryota; Fungi; Ascomycota; Dothideomycetes; Cladosporiales; Cladosporiaceae
Description: eukaryotic LSU rRNA
Rfam family: 5.8S ribosomal RNA (bases 139-292)
Source: RNAcentral
CGGCCUGGUUAUUCAUAACCCUUUGUUGUCCGACUCUGUUGCCUCCGGGGCGACCCUGCCUUCGGGCGGGGGCUCCGGGUGGACACUUCAAACUCUUGCGUAACUUUGCAGUCUGAGUAAACUUAAUUAAUAAAUUAAAACUUUUAACAACGGAUCUCUUGGUUCUGGCAUCGAUGAAGAACGCAGCGAAAUGCGAUAAGUAAUGUGAAUUGCAGAAUUCAGUGAAUCAUCGAAUCUUUGAACGCACAUUGCGCCCCCUGGUAUUCCGGGGGGCAUGCCUGUUCGAGCGUCAUUUCACCACUCAAGCCUCGCUUGGUAUUGGGCAACGCGGUCCGCCGCGUGCCUCAAAUCGUCCGGCUGGGUCUUCUGUCCCCUAAGCGUUGUGGAAACUAUUCGCUAAAGGGUGUUCGGGAGGCUACGCCGUAAAACAACCCCAUUUCUAAGGUUGACCUCGGAUCAGGUAGGGAUACCCGCUGAACUUAA